AUCUUCUGUCGUGAUAAAUCUUCCCUAUAAAUAGGGCAAGUGUUAUGCAAAUACUCAUAUCAGUCAAGUUCAGAGUAAGCUCGAAGUCCAUUUAGCUGGGUCUUAUUGAAGGCAUUGUUUUUAGGUGAACUCGGACUUUCUCCAGGGUGAAGAUCCAAGAUCUUCGAUCGAGCAACGACAACGCUUAUGCAUUGUUUCCUUUUUGGGGGCGUUGCUUUUGGAGAACCUCAUUUGUAUUUCGGGUGUUGUCUUCGGUGGUUGGUAGAGUGCUACUGAUGCUAGUGAUUCAUCACCGUGGCAGGGUCUUUUUUUCUGUUCCUUUUAUUUUCCUUUUUGGCUGUGUAUUCUUGAUGCCUUUGAACAUCUUGUUGGUAUAGAGUCCGGGUGUAAUUGGUAUCUUUGUGAUAUUAAUAUGUUCCUUUUGUCAAAAAAAUUAAGAUAGGAAGUAAGAAUUAUAUACAAAUAAGCACCACAUAAACGGCAGCCCAAACUUCCCAUUCCGUCAUCGCAACACUAAGUAACUACUCGCUUAAGACUAUCUUUCUCCAUCUUCCGUGACUCAAGGCAAUGCUGGUGAAUUUUAUCGACUACUGAUGUAUGAAGCAGAGAGGUGUUGUUGCACACCCUUGUGCUUCUCUCAAGCACAUGCAUCAUAGCGAGCAGAGGAUCAACCAGUUGACACCUUUUCUCAGCUUGGGAGGGAUGCCCUGCUGAAGAUCAGACCACCAGGUGAGGACGUCUGGUUCGGCAGGAAGAUCCAUCUCAGGAUGUGAGACCAGACCUCACGCGCAAGACCAUCAUUAGGUGCUCGGUCGUUUCCUUAGCAUGUAUGUAUGCAGGCCACAGCAAGCCAGCAAGAGCUAUCCACCUAUACAACGUGGGGGGUCUCGGCGACGGUGCCCACGAAGAUGCGGACACGGUUGGGCCUCAAGUCCUCGGUCACGGCGGAGCCGACCGGCACCAUGACAAUGUCGGCGUCGGGCUUGUCCUUCAGGAUGAUCUCCUUGGCCUCCUUGAUGCUCAGCCCCACCACCUCCGGCCACGAAGUCUUCUUUCCACCGGCGAGGUCGUCGGAGGAACUCAUCUUCGUAGCACUGGUUGAUAACUUGAGAUCGAUCGAUCAAUCAGAGAUAGCUUAAUUGAGGCGGAGUGAGGUAUUUCAGCAACAAACUAAACAAGAAGAUCAGUUGAGGCACAUCUAGUUGCUACUCACCGAUUGAUGGACGGUCUUCUCCGAGCUGAUGGACGUACGGCCGAUGAUAUUGGAUGAUUGACAGGCUAGCAAAAGUUGCGCUGUGCGUGAGACUUGAUUUGCAUAACACAUUGGUCGAGUGAUGUAAUAUAGUAGAGAGAUUACGAGUAGGUAGCAGCUUCAUUUUCCACCCAUGGUACCUUCUGAAAGCUGAAUAAAACUGUUGCUUAUUGAUGA
Triticum aestivum (bread wheat) is the source of this 1429-nucleotide long non-coding RNA. RefSeq lists it as uncharacterized. The transcript has 3 exons. The record is from RefSeq and is a predicted model, not a curated record. NCBI's taxonomy places the organism in Eukaryota, Viridiplantae, Streptophyta, Magnoliopsida, Poales, Poaceae.